UAUACACCUUCACCACGCGAACGAUGUGGACUGACACUCCGCAACAACGAUUACUAUUCUUCAGAAACACACGGUUUCUGCAUUCACCGGCCCGUGAAUCCGUAUACGAGCACACACGGUGCCGAUAUACACGAAGACUGUACAGUGAACGUCAUCAACCGAAGAACAAGGCUACGUUUAACUUGCGAGCUUGACUCCACGUUUUUUCCUACAUACGAUCGUAAUUAGCGUUCAACAUGCUAUAAGAAUCAACUCGGUGUUGACUAUACGGGGCACGUAUGCACUGUUCAUCGAUCACAAAAAUUCAUGACAUAGCUUAUAUGAACGUCCGUGCAUUGUAUAAACGUAACAUGGAGAUAUAUAUUCUGCAUUGUGUCGAAACUGAUGG
Molecule: long non-coding RNA, 388 nt
Organism: Bombus impatiens (common eastern bumble bee)
Lineage: Eukaryota; Metazoa; Arthropoda; Insecta; Hymenoptera; Apidae
Exons: 2
Source: RefSeq, a predicted model, not a curated record